This 561-nucleotide small RNA is filed under the name Oryza sativa Japonica Group (Japanese rice). Its description in RNAcentral is "sRNA Os11g0176250". The record is from RNAcentral. Lineage: Eukaryota; Viridiplantae; Streptophyta; Magnoliopsida; Poales; Poaceae.
CUACAUUUGCUUUGCUAACAUACGGCGUUACAACUGCUGGACCUUCAUCACAGAUACAAUGAGUUGGCGAACAUGAUACCCCGACGUAAGCUGUCGCUGGCCGCUCCGAACUUGUUCUCAAGGUUAACCUCACCAACAGCUUGAGCAGCAGCUUUCAACUGUCAUAACAUAUUCAGAUCUUCUAGCCAGCCGUAUGAUACUUCCUUCAAAAAUGUCAGUCAUUUCUAUCACCUCUCCAAAAUGCUGACAAACCUUUGACCAACAGUAUAUGACAUCCAUCAGGUAGGGCCUACAAGUUGAUUCGACAUAUUCUUCAACAUUUACCUCUAAUUUGCAUUCUUUUUAACAAAUAUGCACCUCAGCUAUUUUUCUCGCAGCCUCCUGUAGCUGCAUCAUUGGUGUAGAAAGCUCACUUCUCAGGCGUAUUUGUUCACUAGACUUCUCACAAGGUAUAAAGCAGCUAGCAAGGGAAGCAACUUGAUGAUGAUCAAGAUCGUUAAAUACUGGUACCAUUAAACAUAAGUUCAGUGAUAAGCAGCUCAUCCCCUGUGUCUAUUAAAC